RNAcentral lists this ribosomal RNA (581 nucleotides) under fungal sp. PSF B1-C. RNAcentral describes it as "eukaryotic LSU rRNA". The stretch from base 212 to 365 matches the Rfam family "5.8S ribosomal RNA". Lineage: Eukaryota; Fungi. The record is from RNAcentral.
CCCCCGUAGGGGUAACCUGCGGAAGGAUCAUUACCGAGUGCGGGCCCUCGCGGCCCAACCUCCCACCCUUGUCUCUAUACACCUGUUGCUUUGGCGGGCCCACCGGGGCCACCUGGUCGCCGGGGGACGCACGUCCCCGGGCCCGCGCCCGCCGAGGCGCUCUGUGAACCCUGAUGAAGAUGGGCUGUCUGAGUACUAUGAAAAUUGUCAAAACUUUCAACAAUGGAUCUCUUGGUUCCGGCAUCGAUGAAGAACGCAGCGAAAUGCGAUAAGUAAUGUGAAUUGCAGAAUUCCGUGAAUCAUCGAAUCUUUGAACGCACAUUGCGCCCCCUGGCAUUCCGGGGGGCAUGCCUGUCCGAGCGUCAUUUCUGCCCUCAAGCACGGCUUGUGUGUUGGGUGUGGUCCCCCCGGGGACCUGCCCGAAAGGCAGCGGCGACGUCCGUCUGGUCCUCGAGCGUAUGGGGCUCUGUCACUCGCUCGGGAAGGACCUGCGGGGGUUGGUCACCACCAUGUUUUUACCACGGUUGACCUCGGAUCAGGUAGGAGUUACCCGCUGAACUUAAGCAUAUCAAUAAGCGGAG